AAUUCUAGGAAAACACGAAGUGUGAUUUCAACUAUUUAAUUUUAAAUACCGAUCACGUUAUUUCCUUUACUUUAUAGCUGAAUGAUCAACGUUAUAUCAUGUAUCCAAUUAUAAUUGCAAUUUGUCCUGUAUUUCAAACAAUUUCCUUAACCGAGAAACUUAUGUGCCUGGAAAGAAUAUUAAAUGAAAUUCGAUUCUUCUAACAUUCUCACGGCUCUUUUCCGCUUAAUUAUCGUUGAUCUAAAGCUGUUUAAUUAUGUUAAUUUAUACGAAAAUACUCCCAUCUUGCAUAUUAAAGUAUACUUACUGAUCAAAUAAACAUUUAGCAAUUAAGGCCGCGAUAUCGCGUGCGCGGAUAUUCUCUCAAUGCACGUGAUAUCGCAUGAGAAGUAUCCACAGUGCAAUGUCGAAUUUUACAUUAUUGUAACCUACAUCUUCUGCCAGAAUUUUCCAGAAUUAAUUAAAAAUAAAAAAUGUUACCAUCAGUAGAAAAUAGUGCUGCCACCUGUAAAGACACGUGAAACUAUUCCAUGCGUCAACCAGAAUGCACCAAGUGACAUGCAUACACUAACACAUGAAAGUGGAAGCUAGUCGUUGAAUUACAGAAUAUUAAAUUAGUUGUGUGUAGUAUGAGAGUACAACUGCCACACUGCCUUACAAAACAUGGGAGAUAAAGAGCAGCAUCACGUACACUUUAGCGGGGGAAGCGGUCUCGGGAAAGAUAACAAUAUUAUGAUACAACCGCAACGACAUGGACAAAUAGAUGCACAUCUUGGAUUUUUGCAACUUCAUCACAGAUAUCACGUGGAAUUCUCGAUUCCGUGGAAUGAAUGUACACAUAGAAAUGGAAAGAAUAACCCUCCAGCAAUAGCGACAGGACCCCCUAACCCUAAUUGUCGCAUUAUUGAAUUGAAACAAGAAAAAGAUGGCCUAAAGUUAAAAAUAGAGUUUUUAGCGUAUAAGGAAAAGAUUUUGAAGGAAGAAGUGCAAAUAAUGUGUUGCAAGGAAGGAACCCCAUUGCACAUUCAACUGAACACCCGCGUUUUGGGAAAAGACAAGGGUACACCGUUGCUGAGGAAUGGGAUACACAACAUUGGCGUGGACAAAGCGAACAUGGAUGAGGUCUCCGAGUAGAUCUCGUUGAUAAAAAUAUCGUUGUUUGAAAAUGUACGAGUCGAAUGUUUCUUUUCACAGAAAUUUCUGACGUGGUGCAGCUCUUGAUCACAGUGUAAACUGGAACCGUACCUGCCGGCUUCCGGCCGUACAAGAACGAUGAUCGGUUCUUCAACAGUGUCUCUGCCAACGUAAAAUCAAUGGAUUAAUUUGGAUAGCGACAACGAACAGCUUUCAUCGUUUUCUCCUACCCGUCUCUGCAAAGGACGUUCAUCA
RNAcentral lists this unclassified non-coding RNA (1389 nucleotides) under Megachile rotundata (alfalfa leafcutting bee). RNAcentral's name for it is "uPF0687 protein C20orf27 homolog, transcript variant X2". Lineage: Eukaryota; Metazoa; Arthropoda; Insecta; Hymenoptera; Megachilidae. The record is from RNAcentral.